AACGAACGCUGGCGGCAGGCUUAACACAUGCAAGUCGAACGCCCCGCAAGGGGAGUGGCAGACGGGUGAGUAACGCGUGGGAAUCUACCCAGAUCUUCGGAACAACUGAGGGAAACUUCAGCUAAUACCGGAUACGCCCUACGGGGGAAAGAUUUAUCGGAUCUGGAUGAGCCCGCGUUGGAUUAGCUAGUUGGUGGGGUAAUGGCCUACCAAGGCGACGAUCCAUAGCUGGUCUGAGAGGAUGAUCAGCCACACUGGGACUGAGACACGGCCCAGACUCCUACGGGAGGCAGCAGUGGGGAAUAUUGGACAAUGGGCGAAAGCCUGAUCCAGCCAUGCCGCGUGAGUGAUGAAGGCCUUAGGGUUGUAAAGCUCUUUCAGUAGGGAAGAUAAUGACGGUACCUACAGAAGAAGCCCCGGCUAACUUCGUGCCAGCAGCCGCAGUAA
Molecule: ribosomal RNA, 447 nt
Filed under: uncultured bacterium
Lineage: Bacteria
Description: partial 16S ribosomal RNA
Rfam family: Bacterial small subunit ribosomal RNA
Source: RNAcentral